UACGAAGGGGGCUAGCGUUGUUCGGAAUCACUGGGCGUAAAGGGCGCGUAGGCGGCCUUGUAAGUCGGGGGUGAAAGCCUGUGGCUCAACCACAGAAUUGCCUUCGAUACUGCAGGGCUUGAGACCGGAAGAGGUAAGUGGAACUGCGAGUGUAGAGGUGAAAUUCGUAGAUAUUCGCAAGAACACCAGUGGCGAAGGCGGCUUACUGGUCCGGUUCUGACGCUGAGGCGCGAAAGCGUGGGGAGCAAACAGG
Molecule: ribosomal RNA, 253 nt
Filed under: uncultured bacterium
Lineage: Bacteria
Description: partial 16S ribosomal RNA
Rfam family: Bacterial small subunit ribosomal RNA
Source: RNAcentral